CCUACGGGAGGCAGCAGUGAGGAAUAUUGGUCAAUGGCCGUAAGGCUGAACCAGCCAAGUCGCGUGAAGGAAGAAGGAUCUAUGGUUUGAAAACUUCUAUCAGCAGGGAAGAAAAUGACGGUACCUGACUAAGAAGCCCCGGCUAACUACGUGCCAGCAGCCGCGGUAAUACGUAGGGGGCAAGCGUUAUCCGGAUUUACUGGGUGUAAAGGGAGCGUAGGCGGUUUAGCAAGUCAGAAGUGAAAGCCCGGGGCUCAACUCCGGGACUGCUUUUGAAACUGUUGAACUAGAUGGCAGGAGAGGUAAGUGGAAUUCCUAGUGUAGCGGUGAAAUGCGUAGAUAUUAGGAGGAACACCAGUGGCGAAGGCGGCUUACUGGACUGUAAAUGACGCUGAGGCUCGAAAGCGUGGGGAGCAAACAGGAUUAGAUACCCGUGUAGUC
RNAcentral lists this ribosomal RNA (441 nucleotides) under uncultured bacterium. Its description in RNAcentral is "partial 16S ribosomal RNA". It matches the Rfam family "Bacterial small subunit ribosomal RNA", at positions 338 to 795 of the family's 1533-position model. The record is from RNAcentral.